ACUAAAAGCAGAACUAAAAUAAGUGUUUUAAGAAAUUUGUGUUACAAACCAAAUAAGAAAAUUGCAUACCAGGUCUGUAAUCUUGGUAGAUACAGAGUUAUAUGCAUCCACUGCAAGUUAUGUGCAGACCAACACACGCUUUCCCUCACUUCCACUGAGGUGAGUCUUCAGUUGUCACGUAGAAGUUGUAAAUUGGGAUGGAAGUAGAAACAGGCCAUAUUCAAGUCACCAGGGUUACUGGUCUCAAAGGACUUGGCUGUGUCAUAGCUAAUGACAGAUGAAGUGCAUAUAUUUGGUGAUCUGAUGGCU
Arvicanthis niloticus (Nile rat) is the source of this 309-nucleotide small nucleolar RNA. NCBI's taxonomy places the organism in Eukaryota, Metazoa, Chordata, Mammalia, Rodentia, Muridae. The record is from RefSeq and is a predicted model, not a curated record.